UGUAAUGUUAGCAAUGGAACGCAGCCACCUGCCUUCUCUCUCUCAGGCAUUCACAGUCCUGGCUGGCUACACUUCAGAUUGCAGAACCAUGGAUAGCCUGUUCUUUUCAAUCUCUUGCAUCCAUUUUAGUUGAUGUGUCAUCUAUGACCUUCUCACUAUCCAGUGAUGUGUCGCUCCAGCAAGAGGUGAUACUACUAACCUGUCGGGGUGGAGGACGGCAGAGCCAGUAGCUGCAGCGGGUUCCUUCUCCGAGGACUGGAGGACAAAAGAUUUCCCCAGAGAACAACCAAAGAGCACCAGCAUCAUCACAAA
Long non-coding RNA from Oncorhynchus nerka (sockeye salmon), 312 nucleotides. RefSeq lists it as uncharacterized. The record is from RefSeq and is a predicted model, not a curated record. The transcript is spliced from 2 exons. NCBI's taxonomy places the organism in Eukaryota, Metazoa, Chordata, Actinopteri, Salmoniformes, Salmonidae.